Molecule: ribosomal RNA, 333 nt
Filed under: uncultured bacterium
Lineage: Bacteria
Description: bacterial SSU rRNA
Rfam family: Bacterial small subunit ribosomal RNA
Source: RNAcentral
GGGCUUACACAAGCGGUGGAGCAUGUGGUUUAAUUCGAAACAACGCGCAGAACCUUACCAAUCCUUGCAAUAUACAGGAAGCAACUGUUAUAAGUUGUCUUUUGGUAUACAGGCGCUGCAUGGCUGUCGUCAGUUCGUGGCGUGAGCUGUUGGGGUUAAGUCCUAGAACGAACGCAACCCUCUUAGCAUGUGCAUUUUAAUGCCUUGUUAAACUGCCAGUGACAUACGGGAGGAAGGAGAGGAUGACGUCAAGUCCGCAUGGCCCUUAUGGGUUGGGCUACACACGUGCUACAAUGGCGAACACAAAGGGAUGCAAGAUGGCAACAUGGAGCA